Proteus penneri ATCC 35198 is the source of this 70-nucleotide non-coding RNA. The record is from Rfam. Lineage: Bacteria; Pseudomonadati; Pseudomonadota; Gammaproteobacteria; Enterobacterales; Morganellaceae.
GAGGGAACGACAUUGCUCACAUUGCUUCCAGUAUUUUUUUACUAGCCAGCUCGGGUGCUGGCUUUUUUUU